GCUAGUAAUCGCGGAUCAGCAUGCCGCGGUGAAUACGUUCCCGGGCCUUGUACACACCGCCCGUCACACCAUGGGAGUUUGUAACGCCCAAGGUCGGUGGCCUAACCUUUAUGGAGGGAGCCGCCUAAGGCGGGACAGAUGACUGGGGUGAAGUCGUAACAAGGUAGC
RNAcentral lists this ribosomal RNA (168 nucleotides) under uncultured bacterium. Its description in RNAcentral is "partial 16S ribosomal RNA". It matches the Rfam family "Bacterial small subunit ribosomal RNA", at positions 1334 to 1500 of the family's 1533-position model. The record is from RNAcentral.